RNAcentral lists this ribosomal RNA (465 nucleotides) under uncultured bacterium. RNAcentral's name for it is "partial 16S ribosomal RNA". It matches the Rfam family "Bacterial small subunit ribosomal RNA", at positions 28 to 507 of the family's 1533-position model. The record is from RNAcentral.
GACGAACGCUGGCGGCACGCUUAACACAUGCAAGUCGAACGAGAGAAGAGAAGCUUGCUUUUCUGAUCUAGUGGCGGACGGGUGAGUAACACGUGAGCAAUCUGCCUUUCAGAGGGGGAUACCGAUUGGAAACGAUCGUUAAUACCGCAUAACAUAAUUGAACCGCAUGAUUUGAUUAUCAAAGAUUUAUCGCUGAAAGAUGAGCUCGCGUCUGAUUAGCUAGUUGGUAAGGUAACGGCUUACCAAGGCGACGAUCAGUAGCCGGACUGAGAGGUUGAUCGGCCACAUUGGGACUGAGACACGGCCCAGACUCCUACGGGAGGCAGCAGUGGGGAAUAUUGCACAAUGGAGGAAACUCUGAUGCAGCGAUGCCGCGUGAGGGAAGAAGGUUUUAGGAUUGUAAACCUCUGUCUCCAGGGACGAAAAAAGACGGUACCUGAGGAGGAAGCUCCGGCUAACUACGUG